Molecule: ribosomal RNA, 334 nt
Filed under: uncultured Acinetobacter sp.
Lineage: Bacteria; Pseudomonadati; Pseudomonadota; Gammaproteobacteria; Moraxellales; Moraxellaceae
Description: bacterial SSU rRNA
Rfam family: Bacterial small subunit ribosomal RNA
Source: RNAcentral
GAGGUGCUUGCACCUUAUCUUAGCGGCGGACGGGUGAGUAAUGCUUAGGAAUCUGCCUAUUAGUGGGGGACAACAUUCCGAAAGGAGCUAAUACCGCAUACGUCCUACGGGAGAAAGCAGGGGAUCUUCGGACCUUGCGCUAAUAGAUGAGCCUAAGUCGGAUUAGCUAGUUGGUGGGGUAAAGGCCUACCAAGGCGACGAUCUGUAGCGGGUCUGAGAGGAUGAUCCGCCACACUGGGACUGAGACACGGCCCAGACUCCUACGGGAGGCAGCAGUGGGGAAUAUUGGACAAUGGGGGGAACCCUGAUCCAGCCAUGCCGCGUGUGUGAAGAA